Molecule: ribosomal RNA, 3020 nt
Filed under: Triticum aestivum (bread wheat)
Lineage: Eukaryota; Viridiplantae; Streptophyta; Magnoliopsida; Poales; Poaceae
Description: partial small subunit ribosomal RNA
Source: RNAcentral
AUUCCCAUUCCACCACGAUCCCCAACCCCAACCCCCGUUCUCUUCUCCCUUCCCCACGUUCCUCACGGCGCUAGCAGAGGUGAGAGGCGCUCGUGGCAGAGUACGGGGAGGUGCACCACGGAUUGCUGCUCGCCAUCCUGCCGCAGCGGAGAUGCUCGCUCCUCAUUGCGACCGCGUUGGUUGUGAUGUGGCCGGCCCAGGCAUCCACCCCUGUGGAUUUCCCCUCCGCUGUCGUUCGCGGGCGAUGGAUCGGUCGCUCUCCACCGUCGACUUGUCCUCCGCACUCUCGCUCAUCCACAUCGUCUUCGCCUCUACGGGAUCACGGGAUCAACACACCUCUGGCCCCGCUGUGAGUGAGGAGCCGCCCAUCCCUCUGUAAUCUGAGAUGUCGCCCCACCAUUCCUGUUCCGCCAACAACAACAUCUCCCCUGACCGCUUGUCGUGCCUUGCCUCCAAAUCGGAUCACUGCAGUCUGAAGAUAAGCUUCAUCGUUGAUUCUUUUUUCUUUAUGUUUCUUAUGUUAUUUGUCACUUCACCGUGAACGUCAUGAGAUGUCUUGUUGGUUCAAUGAUGAACUGAAUAGAUCGUGUCACCUUGAUCAUGUCGUUGUAUGAAGAAUAUGGGAGUGCCAACCAUUGGCGACUCAUUCUAUAAUCUGUACUAUCAUGUUCAGUUAGUUUCUGGACAGAUGAGUAUAUGUUUAGUUUAUAUUGUGCCAUUGGUCCAAGAAUUGCUCUUGUAUAGAAGUGUAGCAAUGGAUGGUCCAAAAGCAAAUCAUAUUCUAAUUGCUGCAGAGUUUAAAAACCAACUGGAAUACAUUUCCAUUUGCUUUCUGCUGAAGCUUGAAUGAUCUUCUUUUUUCAGUAUUUUGAUGCAGUCAUAUCUCAACCACAUGAUGGCACACUAUAUAAGACCUCUAACCUGACGUGGAAGGACGAACUUCGACCAUGGAGCAGAGCACAGCGACGGUGGUCGUUGUCAUGGAUUGAUGGUCAAUGAUAAAGAGCAGGGGCCCUCAGAUGCUAGCCCUCCUCCCGCUGCUAUCCUCCCCAUCACCUACGAGAUGUAUAUGAUGCUGACUUUCAGAGGCUGAACAAUUAGGUUGAUAUUGAAGGAGUAAUAAAGGAUCAACGGGCCAAGAUGUUUUGAGAUCAAACGGUGAGGUGCUAGGGACAGUCCUCCAGAGCAAAAGCAUUCAGUUUCAAGGACAUCAUAAGAUGCUAAAAAGUCCAAUUCAAGUAAUUUCAUCAUAAAACAGGGCUACAAGUAACAACUGGAGAAGAAGGGGGCCAAAAAUCCAAAAAGGCAUUGGGCGUGCAGCCACUCCGCCGACAUGACAGUCUUAGUACGCGGCACUGCGUAAACACGCAUUGCGGCGGCGACCACUGACACUGACAACAACGUGGCUUUUCAGCGAGCGGCGACCCUGACGGUGGCAGCACCCAUCACAUAAGGCAACGCUCCGACCAUACCCGAUGGUGUUCCCUGAGCCAUGGUGUGUGCCUUCUCCUCCCCUAGAUCAUCUCACCAAUUACUUGCACGCUAGAGGUAGGCUAGACCAUACUGAAAACGAUCUUCCAUUUUCACAAUUAUUUAUUUCUCUCUUUUUGUGCAUCUCCGAUCCCUGUUCAUACUUUAUUACUACAGGAAUGUAUAUCAUAGAUUAUCUAGAAACGAUACUGCUUACUUCUGAUGCUCCAUCAUCCUGUCAGGCUUCAUUUAAUCCUAAAGGCUCCUUUGGUUAGUAAUUCAUCUACUCUUCAUCAUUGCCUGCAAUUUUCAUCAUUGACUGUAGUUUUGUAAAUUAAUUCAUCCUUGGUAAGUUUUGACUGUCUAUUCUUUGCUCAUUGGCUCUGUAUGGCGAUUGUCACAUGUUUAAUUUGACUGCACAUUGGACAUGUAAUUAUACAUUUCGAGGUAUAACGCUGGUGUUUGUUUCUACAUUUGAAUAUUUCUCUUGUGGGGUAGAAACCAUAUUCUAUUCCCCCUGUUGGGCCAACUUGCUUGUAGAAUCACAAUGGGAGAAUUAUUGAUUUGUUAAUCCCUUCCUUCAACAUGUUAGAACUUGCAUUUUCCUGCUUAAAGUAUUACGUUAAUACACUACAUAAUCACUGGUGCCUGCAGAGCUGGCGCAAUAUAACAAAUUAGGCUGGGUCUGAAAGAUGCAGCCAUGUUGGCCUCGCCAAUGAGUGAAUGUUGGAAGAUGCAACAUUAGGAAAUGCCGAGUAUAUAUGGCAACAUCCAUGGUUCUGUCUCCUAUCUCAUAUAAGGCCUAAUUAAGUCUCCUUGUUCUUGUUACAAGUCAUUUAGCACUGAUGUGAUUAGUGAUGUUCCACUGACCUGGAGGUGUGUUAUCACAUACCAAGCAAUUAAUCAUUACCUAAAGUCAUGUUCAUUGCCUCGAUAUCAUUCCCUAUGUCUUUCUUGAAUUCUUUGCUGAAGACAAUUUCCGUGAGAUUAAUUUCCUUUUUGUUCACUUCAGUUUUUAUUUGUUCUAUAGUUCACACCUGGUCCCUUCAGUGUAACUUAUUGAAUAACAAAGUUUUGUCUUUUAUUCAUUGCAUGUGGUACCUAUAGUCAAGGAAAAACAUCUACCUAUAUUGCUGACAUAGUUGCAAGAUUUAUAUGUAUUGAGCAAGAACUCAUUAGAUCGAGAUAAGUCCAACAAGGAGAUCUCUCUUGCCUCUUAUGAAGUGUGUCAGAUUUAGAAAGAAAGAAGUGGAGAUUUCUUUUAGGCCAAAGAGAUGGGUCCGAAAGAGUUAGUUUCUGAAGUUAUUUAGAAUGUUAACCUCCCGUUGGAGGCAUUUGGCACUUAGCCUUUGUUGCUGUACAGCCGAGCUAACUUAUUGACAUCCUCCAAAUUUCCUUUCUACUUUUUAAAUCUUGUUAUGUUGUCUCUUGGGUAGGCUUCAACCUGUUUCCUGUAAAACAAAUAAGAUUGCAAAAGUAUAUUAUUAGCAUGUAUCGAUUGUAGUGCAUAACACAUCAGAUUGUACACAAUGAUGUCCCUUUGUAUGGAA